This is a long non-coding RNA of Coturnix japonica (Japanese quail), 390 nucleotides long. RefSeq lists it as uncharacterized. The record is from RefSeq and is a predicted model, not a curated record. Lineage: Eukaryota; Metazoa; Chordata; Aves; Galliformes; Phasianidae.
UCUGUCAAAAUCCAGCUCUGCCACGUGCUAUUAAAAGACUGGUGGGAACUGACUUCUAUUUUCCAUAUUCAAAAGGAAUCUACUCAGUCAAUUGGAUUACAACCCAUGCUACUACCCAAAGCAAAAGGUGUAAGUUGGAGCUCAGUGAAAAGAGUGGACAUUUUCAACAGAUGGAGUCCAAGAACCAGUAAGGCAUGACAAAGUGUCUGCAGAAUGACUGAUUUCAUGGAAAUGGCUCUUGACAUGAAGAGCAUCAUGUACUGACUUUGAGGUGUAGAGACCUGCUGCUUCUCCUGACCUCCUGUGGACUGGGGCUCGCUGCCUAAGCUGCUCCCCCACUUCAGGACUGAAUGGCCAGAGCUCAGCUCACCUUAUCAGAGAAGACAUUUG